AUUGAACGCUGGCGGCAUGCUUUACACAUGCAAGUCGAGCGGUAACAGGCCUUCGGGUGCUGACGAGUGGCGAACGGGUGAGUAAUGCAUCGGGACGUACCCAGAGGUGGGGGAUAACGCAGCGAAAGCUGUGCUAAUACCGCAUGUGAUCUGAGGAUGAAAGCGGGGGACCGAGCAGCAAUGUUUGGCCUCGCGCCUUUGGAGCGGCCGAUGUCGGAUUAGCUAGUUGGUGGGGUAAAGGCCUACCAAGGCGACGAUCCGUAGCUGGUCUGAGAGGACGACCAGCCACACUGGGACUGAGACACGGCCCAGACUCCUACGGGAGGCAGCAGUGGGGAAUUUUGGACAAUGGGCGAAAGCCUGAUCCAGCAAUGCCGCGUGCGGGAAGAAGGCCUUCGGGUUGUAAACCGCUUUUGGCAGGAACGAAACGGUGUCCGCUAAUACCGGGCGCUAAUGACGGUACCUGCAGAAUAAGCACCGGCUAACUACGUG
Molecule: ribosomal RNA, 492 nt
Filed under: uncultured bacterium
Lineage: Bacteria
Description: partial 16S ribosomal RNA
Rfam family: Bacterial small subunit ribosomal RNA
Source: RNAcentral